This is a non-coding RNA of Megalobrama amblycephala (Wuchang bream), 837 nucleotides long. The record is from the annotation of a RefSeq genome assembly. NCBI's taxonomy places the organism in Eukaryota, Metazoa, Chordata, Actinopteri, Cypriniformes, Xenocyprididae.
UUACAAUUUUCUUUACUAUUUUCACAGACAAUGUGCAUCAGAGGAACAAGCUUAUGUAUUUUAUAACAUUAUUUCCAUUUUUAAAGAAACGUCUAUUGCAGACACAAACAUUAUAAAUAAACGUAUACAUUAUUUCUAAUAAAUUAACAAUCAAAAUGUGUUUUGUAUACAGUAAAUCUUUCAUCACAGAAAACAAUUUCUGAAUGAAUAGUCCCAACACAAAAUAAAAGUCCACUUCCUUGCCACAGGGUGGCGCUCUGCAGCCUGUUGUUAGAAAGCAGCUCAAGUUAAAUAUGAGUGACUCCAGGUUGAGUUUGACACUUAAAGCAUUCAUUCUGCUGAACAAUGGCCAGGUUUACUGUAGUCUUGAUGGUAUUUUCACUGCUUCAGGAGAGCACUGAUGCAAAUACAAUAGAAUCUCUCUCACCAGAAAAGCAUGUUUCAGUUGGAGAAAGUGCUGUUAUCUCCUGCAAAUACAGCGGCAUUGGGCCAAGCUUCCAGUGGUAUCGCCAAUAUCCAAGAUCCAGACCAGAGUUCCUUAUUUUUCACACAGAGAAUGCUGAUUCAAAUGAACCCACUUUACGUCUCACAGCGAUACCCAAAAAAGAAAUGACACAAGUGGAUCUGGAGAUCUCCUCUACUGAGGUGAAAGACUCUGCUGUGUAUUACUGCGCCCUGGUGCCCACAGUGACAGGAAACACACCUGCUCUGUACAAAAACUUAAUACAUUCAUCUGCAUUACACAAAACUGUGAAACACCCGCAUCCAAUACACCACAACAAAUUACUGAUGCAACAUGUUUAAAUCUAAAGAAACACUGUCAGGUCUUUAUUUUGA